RNAcentral lists this ribosomal RNA (202 nucleotides) under uncultured bacterium. Its description in RNAcentral is "partial 16S ribosomal RNA". It matches the Rfam family "Bacterial small subunit ribosomal RNA", at positions 1299 to 1500 of the family's 1533-position model. The record is from RNAcentral.
UGUAGUCUGCAACCCGACUACAUGAAGCUGGAAUCGCUAGUAAUCGCGAAUCAGAAUGUCGCGGUGAAUACGUUCCCGGGUCUUGUACACACCGCCCGUCACACCAUGGGAGUCGGAAAUGCCCGAAGUCAGUGACCCAACCGUAAGGAGGGAGCUGCCGAAGGUGGAGCCGGUAACUGGGGUGAAGUCGUAACAAGGUAGC